RNAcentral lists this non-coding RNA (26 nucleotides) under Rattus norvegicus (Norway rat). Lineage: Eukaryota; Metazoa; Chordata; Mammalia; Rodentia; Muridae. The record is from RNAcentral.
UUCUCUCCGUUCUUUAUCUGUGGCCU